UGACAGCUGUCGAAAGAUGGUUUUCUUCGGACACUCUUCAAGGUGCUGCAUGGUUGUCGUCAGCUCGUGCCGUGAGGUGUCGGGUUAAGUCCCAUAACGAGCGCAACCCUUACCGUUAGUUACCAUCAGGUUAAGCGUGGGGACUCUAGCGGGACUGCCACCGUAAGGUGAGAGGAAGGUGGGGAUGACGUCAAAUCAGCACGGCCCUUAUGUCCAGGGCUACACACGUGUUACAAUGGCCGGUACAAAGGGCAGCUACUUCGCGAGAAGAUGCUAAUCUCGAAAGCCGGUCUCAGUUCGGAUCGAAGUCUGCAACCCGACUUCGUGAAGCUGGAUUCGCUAGUAAUCGCGCAUCAGCCAUGGCGCGGUGAAUACGUUCCCGGGCCUU
This 388-nucleotide ribosomal RNA is filed under the name uncultured Sphingobacteriales bacterium. Its description in RNAcentral is "bacterial SSU rRNA". It matches the Rfam family "Bacterial small subunit ribosomal RNA", at positions 992 to 1382 of the family's 1533-position model. Lineage: Bacteria; Pseudomonadati; Bacteroidota; Sphingobacteriia; Sphingobacteriales. The record is from RNAcentral.